GAUGCCGGCUGGGCUGCGUUCAGUCGUUUUGCUAUGGAGCACGGGGCAGGCGGGGGGCCCGACUCGGCGCGGACUGGCUUGCAUAGGUCCCUGAUGCGUGCCGGCCGCUCCGCAGCGACGUGAUGGCCGGGGAUGUGAGGCGUCCCCCGGUGUUACCAGCGGGAAAAGGAUGAGAGCUCUGGAAACAGCCAGGGCCGGUGCCCCCUGACAGACUGAACGCCUCAGUUGUGGCUGGGCUGACUGCUGGUUCGUCCUCGGGCUGUGAUGAGUGCAGAGCCGGCCCUCUUGAGUGCAGUGGAGUUUGCUGACAAGGAUGGGGCAGACCAUAGGAACUCAGCGUCUUUGGCGUUUUCCUGAGUGACCAUCAACGAAUGCAGAAAUACUAGAAAUUUUGAGGCCCCUGCAUGUCAGCUGGAAAGGUUAUGAGUACCAGUUUUUGUCAAAAAAAUUUCAAUAAAAUAAGUAAAACAA
This is a long non-coding RNA of Lepus europaeus (European hare), 471 nucleotides long. RefSeq lists it as uncharacterized. The record is from RefSeq and is a predicted model, not a curated record. The transcript is spliced from 5 exons. Lineage: Eukaryota; Metazoa; Chordata; Mammalia; Lagomorpha; Leporidae.